Molecule: ribosomal RNA, 253 nt
Filed under: uncultured bacterium
Lineage: Bacteria
Description: partial 16S ribosomal RNA
Rfam family: Bacterial small subunit ribosomal RNA
Source: RNAcentral
UACGGAGGGAGCUAGCGUUGUUCGGAUAUACUGGGCGUAAAGCGCACGUAGGCGGCGCCGUAAGUCAGGGGUGAAAUCCCGGAGCUCAACUCCGGAACUGCCCUUGAAACUGCAGUGCUAGAAUCUUGGAGAGGCGAGUGGAAUUCCAGGUGUAGCGGUGAAAUGCGUAGAUAUCUGGAGGAAUACCGGUGGCGAAGGCGGCAUCCUGGACCGACAUUGACGCUGAGGAGCGAAAGCUAGGGGAGCAAACGGG